This 468-nucleotide ribosomal RNA is filed under the name uncultured bacterium. RNAcentral's name for it is "partial 16S ribosomal RNA". It matches the Rfam family "Bacterial small subunit ribosomal RNA", at positions 28 to 507 of the family's 1533-position model. The record is from RNAcentral.
GACGAACGCUGGCGGCGUGCUUAACACAUGCAAGUCGAACGGAAAGGCCCUGCUUUUGUGGGGUGCUCGAGUGGCGAACGGGUGAGUAACACGUGAGUAACCUGCCCUUUACUUUGGGAUAACUUCAGGAAACUGGGGCUAAUACCGGAUAGGAGCUCCUGCUGCAUGGUGGGGGUUGGAAAGUUUCGGCGGUUGGGGAUGGACUCGCGGCUUAUCAGCUUGUUGGUGGGGUAGUGGCUUACCAAGGCUUUGACGGGUAGCCGGCCUGAGAGGGUGACCGGCAACAAUGGGACUGAGAUACGGCCCAGACUCCUACGGGAGGCAGCAGUGGGGAAUAGUGCACAAUGGGCGGAAGCCUGAUGCAGCAACGCCGCGUGCGGGAUGACGGCCUUCGGGUUGUAAACCGAUUUCGCCUGUGACGAAGCGUGAGUGACGGUAAUGGGUAAAGAAGCACCGGCUAACUACGUG